This 477-nucleotide unclassified non-coding RNA is filed under the name Hevea brasiliensis (rubber tree). The record is from RNAcentral. Lineage: Eukaryota; Viridiplantae; Streptophyta; Magnoliopsida; Malpighiales; Euphorbiaceae.
UUUUUUUAAGAAAUGAAAAUUUCACAAAAUGGCAUUUUCCUUACGUGAUGACCGAUCAACAGUACAAAGAUUAAUCUCUGGCAUUUAUGAUGGUAGGGACCGCAUGACUCUGGAUGUACUCGCACCCAUAUGAUAACUGCUAGCUAUUGCGUUAGACACGGGAUUUAGGAAAUUAUGCGUGGAUGCACGGGACCACCAUUAUUUUCCAAAUUUUAGAAUAUUCACGUUAGGCAUUUAAAAAUAAAAUAAUAUAAAAUAAAAAUUCCCCACAAUUAUUCGACUUUUGCUUUUAGUCUAAUUUUUUGCUAUUUCCAGAAUGAGCAAGUUAUAAAAAAUAUUGAUAACUUUAUUUGUUGAAUAAAACUAAAAAUAUCAUUCUUAUUUUUCUUUUUUUUUUAAUCUUAUAAAAAUACUUGUGGCUAUUUAAAUUUUGAAUUUUUACAUUAUUAAAUAAACACUCAAUUACUAAGUUAUUGU